Equus caballus (horse) is the source of this 615-nucleotide long non-coding RNA. RefSeq lists it as uncharacterized. Lineage: Eukaryota; Metazoa; Chordata; Mammalia; Perissodactyla; Equidae. The record is from RefSeq and is a predicted model, not a curated record.
UGACCUUGUAACGCAGCACAGUGUGUGGAAGGGCAUAAAUUUCCACUGUUUUCAGCCCUGCUGCAUUUUCACUGAAGACUUCCAACAAGAACAUGAAGUUGGGAGGCCUCCUCCUCCUUGUGACCCUCAUCACCCUCAGCUUAGGGGUACAGGAGCUUCAGGCUCAAGUGGAACGGAAGCACCCCUUGGGUGGAUCAAGACCCGGAAGAUGUCCAACGGUGCCUCCAGGAACUUUUGGACAUUGUGCUGAAUUGUGCACAGGAGAUGCAUCUUGUCCCAAGGGACAAAAAUGCUGCAGCAACGGUUGUGGCCAUGUCUGCCGAACUGCUGUUUAAGCCGAGGAAGACUUCUUUAUCCAUUUGGAUGAGCCAUGAACCUUAGCCUCCUUCAGUGACCACUCCCAAAUGUCAUCUUUAUUCCAACACCCUGGAGGAGAACAGCUUUCCUACUAUCUUUUCCUGCCUGCUCUCUAUUCCUGGAACCCCUGUACCACGACAGGAGGAUAUAAAAUAACUUUGGCUUAGAUGCUCGGUUCUGGCAAUUGUGUGAGGAAUCAUGGAGUGACUGCUUCCAAGAUUAACCUUCUUCUGAAUAAAAUUAUUUCUGUUGCAUUAA